UACGGAGGAUCCAAGCGUUAUCCGGCAUCAUUGGAUUUAAAGGGUCCGUAGGUGGGCCGUUAAGUCAGAGGUGAAAUCCUGCAGCUCAACUGUAGAAUUGCCUUUGAUACUGGCGGCCUUGAAUUACUGUGAAGUGGUUAGAAUAUGUGGUGUAGCGGUGAAAUGCAUAGAUAUCACAUAGAAUACCGAUUGCGAAGGCAGGCCACUAACCAUAUACUGACGCUGAUGGACGAAAGCGUGGGGAGCGAACAGG
RNAcentral lists this ribosomal RNA (253 nucleotides) under uncultured bacterium. RNAcentral's name for it is "partial 16S ribosomal RNA". It matches the Rfam family "Bacterial small subunit ribosomal RNA", at positions 524 to 776 of the family's 1533-position model. The record is from RNAcentral.